CAAACUGGUACAUUAUUUACUCUGGCAAGGUUUUCAGCAGUAGGGAAGGCUAUUCCAGGAGGCGUUAGUCUGGGCAUGGUCAGCACUGGCUCAGAGUUUGUGUAAAAUGCAGAUUCAGGAGAUUACUGGGCAUAGAAGCAGACUUUAGGAGUUGUAAGGCGCCUCGGAACAUCAGCCUGGUAGACUACUGGAUCUGCUGAGACAUUCUGUUCUCACUGGAAAAGAGGAAUUGGCUCAUGCUGUGGAAUGACUAACAAAUUGUCCCUGAGGGCUGGCCAGUUAGAUCUCAGAAUGAAGACCCUACUGGGCCUGAAUUGGGGAGGAGGAAUACAGAGCAGGCAGCCAUGCAAGACUUGGUGUGAGAACCAUAUGGAAGGGAAGAAGUAUCCUAGACCCAAGAUGCAAGUUUAUGGAUUGCAAGACAGGAGGCCCAACACUGAAACAGCAUCUAACAAAAGUGCCAUGGAUUUCUGUAGCCUAAAUAUCCUGAAAACUAUGCAACACUUGUCCUUCUCACACUUGACAGCAAGGACUCUUUCUGCUUUUGCUCCAGGCCUGGUGGCCAUGUCACGUCGGGCUCAAGCUUUUUGGCAUUUCAAGCAGAAGUGGAAGAAGAUUAAUGGACAAUUAUUGCUGUCAAGCCCUGCAGGGACAGGUUUCAAGUGGCAGCAAUGUGGUAUAAAUGCAGCAUGUGGAAUACAGGGCCUGAGGGAUGCUCAGCACCCAGCAUUACAGGAUUCUGCCUUUUUCUUGUCUUUGGUUCUGCUUUUUAAACACCGACCUCAGGAGAAGCUUUGCAGGAUGAGGUUAUUAUGGGACUGGACACCUUGAGUCACUUGGGGUGUGGUGCAUGUGGGACACCUGAUGAUGACUCCAGUGAAAGUUGCUGCCGCUCAGUCAACAUCAUGAGGAAGAAUAUCAACUCUCUGGUGUCUGUGGGUAGUUUUCUUCUCAUUCUUCACCUGAAAAGAAGACAACUGUUUCCUUAUCCCAGAGGGGUCUCUAACUUAAGGGUUGGAUUUGAUGGCCAACAGGGAUCAGCUAAAUGUGACUAUCCUACAUUUACAGAUGCAUGACAUCUGUGUCCGAGCUGCUAUCACAGGGCAGUUCGUGCAGAAACUUCUCAGAAAAUUUCUGGUUUGUAUGGUCAGGUACCAUGGUCAUGUGAGGUGAUUCAAGGUAACUGGCUUUCUGGGAGACAAUGCCAUCCUUGUAAAAGGUCUGUAGCAGAAAAAAAUGUGGGUUUUUUUACAUUGCUUCAAAUAUGAUAUGCGGUUUUUCACUGUGAAUAACAUCCUUUAAUAUCUAUAUUUGGCUUAGCAACUACAAUAAAUCUGACUCUGGAACAUAAGCCUAGAGACCG
RNAcentral lists this long non-coding RNA (1363 nucleotides) under Parus major (Great Tit). Its description in RNAcentral is "lncRNA (ENSPMJG00000010567.1)". The record is from RNAcentral. Lineage: Eukaryota; Metazoa; Chordata; Aves; Passeriformes; Paridae.